GAUGAACGCUGGCGGCGUGCCUAAUACAUGCAAGUCGAGCGAACAGAUGAGGAGCUUGCUCCUCUGACGUUAGCGGCGGACGGGUGAGUAACACGUGGAUAACCUACCUAUAAGACUGGGAUAACUUCGGGAAACCGGAGCUAAUACCGGAUAAUAUAUUGAACCGCAUGGUUCAAUAGAGAAAGACGGUUUUGCUGUCACUUAUAGAUGGAUCCGCGCCGCAUUAGCUAGUUGGUAAGGUAACGGCUUACCAAGGCAACGAUGCGUAGCCGACCUGAGAGGGUGAUCGGCCACACUGGAACUGAGACACGGUCCAGACUCCUACGGGAGGCAGCAGUAGGGAAUCUUCCGCAAUGGGCGAAAGCCUGACGGAGCAACGCCGCGUGAGUGAUGAAGGUCUUCGGAUCGUAAAACUCUGUUAUUAGGGAAGAACAAAUGUGUAAGUAACUAUGCACGUCUUGACGGUACCUAAUCAGAAAGCCACGGCUAACUACGUG
RNAcentral lists this ribosomal RNA (497 nucleotides) under uncultured bacterium. Its description in RNAcentral is "partial 16S ribosomal RNA". It matches the Rfam family "Bacterial small subunit ribosomal RNA", at positions 28 to 507 of the family's 1533-position model. The record is from RNAcentral.